RNAcentral lists this non-coding RNA (309 nucleotides) under Otolemur garnettii (small-eared galago). Its description in RNAcentral is "Vascular endothelial growth factor (VEGF) IRES A". It matches the Rfam family "Vascular endothelial growth factor (VEGF) IRES A". Lineage: Eukaryota; Metazoa; Chordata; Mammalia; Primates; Galagidae. The record is from Rfam by way of RNAcentral.
GCUAGGUCGGGCCAGGAGGAACCGCAGCCAGAGGAGGGGGAGGAGGAAGAAGAGAAGGAAGAGGUGAGGGGGCCGCGGUGGCGACUCAGCGCUUGGAAGCCGGGCUUAUGGACCGGUGAGGUGGUGGUGUGCGCAGACAGUGAUCUAACCGCGCGCGCGCCCCAGGCCCUGGCCCCAGUCUCUGCUGCGGGAGGAAGAGGAGCCCACCAAGGCGCCAAGGAGAGCGGGCCGUCCCGCAGCCAGAACCCAAGAGGGAGUGCGAGCCACGCCGGCCAGGGUCGGGUGUCCGAAACCAUGAACUUUCUCCUC